Molecule: non-coding RNA, 72 nt
Organism: Phrynosoma platyrhinos (Desert horned lizard)
Lineage: Eukaryota; Metazoa; Chordata; Lepidosauria; Squamata; Phrynosomatidae
Source: the annotation of a GenBank genome assembly
GCCAGUGUGGUACAAUGGUUUAAAUAUUGGACUACAGCUCUGGAGACCAGGGUUCGAAUCCCCACUCAAUCA